AGAAAGUAAUCCUUCGAUCAAAUAGGUAAACGGAGUCAACGAAUGCAUCCAAUGCCAAAAUCCGACCAAAUUACUAUUAGGCUGCAGAACACCGUUAAAUGUAAUCACGAAUGUGAAUAACAAACUGUUGACAACGGACGCUGUUUGAGCAUUAGGGCACGCACUGGCGACAGCUUGGCCAAAAGUUGAGAAGUACAUUUGGAAGAACAUAUAAAGCAACCAAGCGUAACCAGUUUUGUCACCAGGAUGAUGAAUAUGCUUAUAAAACUUGAUUGGAUAAAACCAACAAAGGAAGAAAAGCGUGCCAAACACCAGGUUAAAUGGAAUUUCUACUAUAAUGGCUGAAAAUACGAAUGCAACCCAACUGUAAAUAUUCGAAGGCUUUUCUCUAACUUCAAAGACGUUACGCAACUCAAUAAAUUUUGGUUGAAGACCAUUAAUCAAAGGAACUGCAAGAACGGUUGCCAUAAACACAGCGAAAAGCUUGUUCUGAAUAUUCUGUACACCGAGACCUUGAUUAUAAAAUGUAAAUCCAAUAAAUAA
Molecule: non-coding RNA, 543 nt
Organism: Schizosaccharomyces pombe (fission yeast)
Lineage: Eukaryota; Fungi; Ascomycota; Schizosaccharomycetes; Schizosaccharomycetales; Schizosaccharomycetaceae
Source: the annotation of a GenBank genome assembly